Molecule: ribosomal RNA, 1066 nt
Filed under: Salmonella enterica
Lineage: Bacteria; Pseudomonadati; Pseudomonadota; Gammaproteobacteria; Enterobacterales; Enterobacteriaceae
Description: partial 23S ribosomal RNA
Rfam family: Bacterial large subunit ribosomal RNA
Source: RNAcentral
AAAGCAUUCUCUGGUGUUGAAGGCCCUGCAAAGCAGCAUCGCGGUGGCGGAGCGUCGUUUGCGACGCCCAACACACAAAACAAGCGGUGAGUGCUUUGGGGUGGGGUGACUGCGUACCUUUUGUAUAAUGGGUCAGCGACUUAUAUUCUGUAGCAAGGUUAACCGUAUAGGGGAGCCGUAGGGAAACCGAGUCUUAACCGGGCGUUAAGUUGCAGGGUAUAGACCCGAAACCCGGUGAUCUAGCCAUGGGCAGGUUGAAGGUUGGGUAACACUAACUGGAGGACCGAACCGACUAAUGUUGAAAAAUUAGCGGAUGACUUGUGGCUGGGGGUGAAAGGCCAAUCAAACCGGGAGAUAGCUGGUUCUCCCCGAAAGCUAUUUAGGUAGCGCCUCGUGAAUUCAUCUUCGGGGGUAGAGCACUGUUUCGGCUAGGGGGUCAUCCCGACUUACCAACCCGAUGCAAACUGCGAAUACCGGAGAAUGUUAUCACGGGAGACACACGGCGGGUGCUAACGUCCGUCGUGAAGAGGGAAACAACCCAGACCGCCAGCUAAGGUCCCAAAGUCAUGGUUAAGUGGGAAACGAUGUGGGAAGGCCCAGACAGCCAGGAUGUUGGCUUAGAAGCAGCCAUCAUUUAAAGAAAGCGUAAUAGCUCACUGGUCGAGUCGGCCUGCGCGGAAGAUGUAACGGGGCUAAACCAUGCACCGAAGCUGCGGCAGCGACACUGUGUGUUGUUGGGUAGGGGAGCGUUCUGUAAGCCUGCGAAGGUGGCCUGUGAGGGUUGCUGGAGGUAUCAGAAGUGCGAAUGCUGACAUAAGUAACGAUAAAGCGGGUGAAAAGCCCGCUCGCCGGAAGACCAAGGGUUCCUGUCCAACGUUAAUCGGGGCAGGGUGAGUCGACCCCUAAGGCGAGGCCGAAAGGCGUAGUCGAUGGGAAACAGGUUAAUAUUCCUGUACUUGGUGUUACUGCGAAGGGGGGACGGAGAAGGCUAUGUUGGCCGGGCGACGGUUGUCCCGGUUUAAGCGUGUAGGUGUGUGUUCCAGGUAAAUCCGGUUCACUUUAACAC